RNAcentral lists this transfer RNA (84 nucleotides) under Candidatus Tectimicrobiota bacterium. RNAcentral's name for it is "tRNA-Leu". It matches the Rfam family "tRNA". Rfam says of the family: Transfer RNA (tRNA) molecules are approximately 80 nucleotides in length. The record is from RNAcentral. Lineage: Bacteria; Pseudomonadati; Candidatus Tectimicrobiota. RNAcentral also lists the same sequence under 1 other name.
GCCGGAGUGGUGAAAUUGGUAGACGCGCGGGACUCAAAAUCCCGUGAGGGUAACCUCGUGUCGGUUCGAGUCCGACCUCCGGCA